RNAcentral lists this ribosomal RNA (484 nucleotides) under uncultured bacterium. RNAcentral's name for it is "partial 16S ribosomal RNA". It matches the Rfam family "Bacterial small subunit ribosomal RNA", at positions 28 to 507 of the family's 1533-position model. The record is from RNAcentral.
AUUGAACGCUGGCGGCAUGCUUUACACAUGCCAGUCGAACGGCAGCGCGGGCUUCGGCCUGGCGGCGAGUGGCGAACGGGUGAGUAAUGCAUCGGAACGUGCCCAGUAGUGGUGGAUAGCCCGGCGACAGCCGGAUUAAUACCGCAUACGACCUGAGGGUGAAAGCGGGGGACCGAAAGGCCUCGCGCCAUUGGAGCGGCCGAUGUCGGAUUAGCUAGUUGGUGGGGUAAAGGCUUACCAAGGCGACGAUCCGUAGCUGGUCUGAGAGGACGACCAGCCACACUGGAACUGAGACACGGCCCAGACUCCUACGGGAGGCAGCAGUGGGGAAUUUUGGACAAUGGGGGCAACCCUGAUCCAGCCAUGCCGCGUGCGGGAAGAAGGCCUUCGGGUUGUAAACCGCUUUUGUUCGGGAAGAAAUCCUCUGGGCUAAUACCCCGGGGGGAUGACGGUACCGGAAGAAUAAGCACCGGCUAACUACGUG